UGGGAGAUCGUACAACGGUAGUACACAUCCCUCUGGAGGAUGGUAUCUUGGUCCGAAUCCAAGUCUCCCAGCCA
This 74-nucleotide transfer RNA is filed under the name Patescibacteria group bacterium. RNAcentral's name for it is "tRNA-Gln". It matches the Rfam family "tRNA". Rfam says of the family: Transfer RNA (tRNA) molecules are approximately 80 nucleotides in length. The record is from RNAcentral.